AAAGUCUUAGCUUAAUUAAAGUGUCUGUUUUGCAUGCAGGAGAUGUGGGGUAGUAUCCCGCAGAUUUUA
This 69-nucleotide transfer RNA is filed under the name Merluccius merluccius (European hake). RNAcentral's name for it is "tRNA-Ala". It matches the Rfam family "tRNA". Rfam says of the family: Transfer RNA (tRNA) molecules are approximately 80 nucleotides in length. Their secondary structure includes four short double-helical elements and three loops (D, anti-codon, and T loops). Lineage: Eukaryota; Metazoa; Chordata; Actinopteri; Gadiformes; Merlucciidae. RNAcentral also lists the same sequence under 3 other names. The record is from RNAcentral.